Molecule: long non-coding RNA, 210 nt
Filed under: Elaeis guineensis (African oil palm)
Lineage: Eukaryota; Viridiplantae; Streptophyta; Magnoliopsida; Arecales; Arecaceae
Description: long non-coding RNA (EGUI_LNC057902)
Source: RNAcentral
GAUUCGCUCGGAGAAGUCUUCUGCAGUAAUAGAAACGUCAUGCUGCGACGUCACCUCUCGUCCUCCUGAAUCUUUCAUCUCAUGCCUGAUCCACCUUCAUCUAGAGCUCCACCUCACACUGGGCUCCCCCUAGUUUUUGAAGCUCCACCUCACAAUAGGCUCCCUAUCAGGUAGUAAUAUCCUCUCAUCCUCUUCUUUUCCUUCAGAAUA